CGUCGCGUGUUUCCUGGUGGUAGGUAGAGCUACUGGAUGGCCGAUGGGCCCUGUGGGUUACUGUACGUCAGCCAAACUCCGAAUGCCAUCAGGGUCGUAGCGCGGCAGUGAGACCGCGGGGAUAAGCCUCCGUGGUCGAGAGGGAAACUAGCCCGGACCGUCCGGACUAAGGCCCCCAAAUGACUGCUAAGUGAUUAAAGGAGGUGGGAGUGCAACGUGACAACCAGGAGGUUUGUCCUACGAAAGACACGGCCACCCUUAAAAGAGUGCGUAAUAGCUCACUGGUCUAGCGCUCCUGCGUCCGAAAAUGAACGGGGUCGACGCGGCCGAGUCGUGGUAGGCAAGGCACACCAGGGGAUAGGUNANNNUNNCACUNUNNCNGCGNUGNNGUNAGGUNCCAUGCAGNUCCAUGCUGCUCGAGNGUCUGGCUGUCU
RNAcentral lists this ribosomal RNA (434 nucleotides) under uncultured Mycobacterium sp. RNAcentral describes it as "partial 23S ribosomal RNA". The stretch from base 1 to 362 matches the Rfam family "Bacterial large subunit ribosomal RNA", at positions 879 to 1234 of the family's 2925-position model. Lineage: Bacteria; Bacillati; Actinomycetota; Actinomycetes; Mycobacteriales; Mycobacteriaceae. The record is from RNAcentral.